This 526-nucleotide ribosomal RNA is filed under the name uncultured bacterium. RNAcentral's name for it is "bacterial SSU rRNA". It matches the Rfam family "Bacterial small subunit ribosomal RNA", at positions 355 to 896 of the family's 1533-position model. The record is from RNAcentral.
UAGGGAAUAUUGCACAAUGGGCGAAAGCCUGAUGCAGCAACGCCGCGUGCGCGAUGAAGGCCUUCGGGUCGUAAAGCGCUUUUCGGGGGGAUGAGGAAGGACAGUACCCCCGGAAUAAGUCUCGGCUAACUACGUGCCAGCAGCCGCGGUAAAACGUAGGAGGCAAGCGUUAUCCGGAUUUACUGGGCGUAAAGCGCGUGUAGGCGGCCCGGUCAGUCGGACGUGAAAUCUCCUGGCUCAACUAGGAGGGGCCGUUCGACACUACCGGGCUUGAGGGCAAGAGAGGGAGGUGGAAUUCCGGGUGUAGCGGUGAAAUGCGUAGAUAUCCGGAGGAACACCUGUGGCGAAAGCGGCCUCCUGGCUUGCCCCUGACGCUCAGACGCGAAAGCUAGGGGAGCGAACGGGAUUAGAAACCCCGGUAGUCCUAGCUGUAAACGAUGCGGACUUGGUGUUGGUGGCUUAAACUCCAUCAGUGCCGUAGCUAACGCGAUAAGUCCGCCGCCUGGGGACUACGACCGCAAGGUUA